UACGUAGGGGGGCUAGCGUUGUCCGGAUUUAUUGGGCGUAAAGAGCGUGUAGGCGGCCAGAUAGGUCUGCUGUGAAAACUCGAGGCUCAACCUCGAGAUGUCGGCGGAAACCAUUUGGCUAGAGUCCGGAAGAGGAAAGUGGAAUUCCUGGUGUAGCGGUGAAAUGCGCAGAUAUCAGGAAGAACACCCGUGGCGAAGGCGGCUUUCUGGGACGGUACUGACACUGAGGUGCGAAAGCGUGGGGAGCAAACAGG
Molecule: ribosomal RNA, 254 nt
Filed under: uncultured bacterium
Lineage: Bacteria
Description: partial 16S ribosomal RNA
Rfam family: Bacterial small subunit ribosomal RNA
Source: RNAcentral